ACGCUAGCUACAGGCUUAACACAUGCAAGUCGAGGGGCAGCAUUUCAGUUUGCUUGCAAACUGGAGAUGGCGACCGGCGCACGGGUGAGUAACACGUAUCCAACCUGCCGAUAACUCGGGGAUAGCCUUUCGAAAGAAAGAUUAAUACCCGAUGGCAUAAUUAGACCGCAUGGUCUUGUUAUUAAAGAAUUUCGGUUAUCGAUGGGGAUGCGUUCCAUUAGGCAGUUGGUGAGGUAACGGCUCACCAAACCUUCGAUGGAUAGGGGUUCUGAGAGGAAGGUCCCCCACAUUGGAACUGAGACACGGUCCAAACUCCUACGGGAGGCAGCAGUGAGGAAUAUUGGUCAAUGGGCGCAGGCCUGAACCAGCCAAGUAGCGUGAAGGAUGACUGCCCUAUGGGUUGUAAACUUCUUUUAUAUGGGAAUAAAGUUUUCCACGUGUGGAAUUUUGUAUGUACCAUAUGAAUAAGGAUCGGCUAACUCCGUGCCAGCAGCCGCGGUAAUACGGAGGAUCCGAGCGUUAUCCGGAUUUAUUGGGUUUAAAGGGAGCGUAGGUGGACAGUUAAGUCAGUUGUGAAAGUUUGCGGCUCAACCGUAAAAUUGCAGUUGAUACUGGCUGUCUUGAGUACAGUAGAGGUGGGCGGAAUUCGUGGUGUAGCGGUGAAAUGCUUAGAUAUCACGAAGAACUCCGAUUGCGAAGGCAGCUCACUGGACUGCAACUGACACUGAUGCUCGAAAGUGUGGGUAUCAAACAGGAUUAGAUACCCUGGUAGUCCACACAGUAAACGAUGAAUACUCGCUGUUUGCGAUAUACAGUAAGCGGCCAAGCGAAAGCAUUAAGUAUUCCACCUGGGGAGUACGCCGGCAACGGUGAAACUCAAAGGAAUUGACGGGGGCCCGCACAAGCGGAGGAACAUGUGGUUUAAUUCGAUGAUACGCGAGGAACCUUACCCGGGCUUAAAUUGCAUUUGAAUAUAUUGGAAACAGUAUAGCCGUAAGGCAAAUGUGAAGGUGCUGCAUGGUUGUCGUCAGCUCGUGCCGUGAGGUGUCGGCUUAAGUGCCAUAACGAGCGCAACCCUUAUCUUUAGUUACUAACAGGUCAUGCUGAGGACUCUAGAGAGACUGCCGUCGUAAGAUGUGAGGAAGGUGGGGAUGACGUCAAAUCAGCACGGCCCUUACGUCCGGGGCUACACACGUGUUACAAUGGGGGGUACAGAAGGCAGCUACCUGGUGACAGGAUGCUAAUCCCAAAAGCCUCUCUCAGUUCGGAUCGAAGUCUGCAACCCGACUUCGUGAAGCUGGAUUCGCUAGUAAUCGCGCAUCAGCCAUGGCGCGGUGAAUACGUUCCCGGGCCUUGUACACACCGCCCG
This 1369-nucleotide ribosomal RNA is filed under the name uncultured bacterium. RNAcentral describes it as "16S ribosomal RNA". It matches the Rfam family "Bacterial small subunit ribosomal RNA", at positions 33 to 1396 of the family's 1533-position model. The record is from RNAcentral.